This 345-nucleotide unclassified non-coding RNA is filed under the name soil metagenome. Its description in RNAcentral is "partial contains 5.8S ribosomal RNA, internal transcribed spacer 2, and large subunit ribosomal RNA". The stretch from base 1 to 120 matches the Rfam family "5.8S ribosomal RNA", at positions 35 to 154 of the family's 154-position model. The record is from RNAcentral.
GAUGAAGAACGUAGCGAAAUGCGAUACGUAAUGUGAAUUGCAGAAUUCAGUGAAUCAUCGAGUCUUUGAACGCACAUUGCGCCCCCUGGUAUUCCGGGGGGCAUGCCUGUCCGAGCGUCAUUGCUGCCCUCAAGCACGGCUUGUGUGUUGGGCCUCCGUCCUCCUCCCGGGGGACAGGCCCGAAAGGCAGCGGCGGCACCGCGUCCGGUCCUCGAGCGUAUGGGGCUUCGUCACCCGCUUUUGUAGGCCCGGCCGGCGCUUGCCGACACAUCAAUCUUUUUUCCAGGUUGACCUCGGAUCAGGUAGGGAUACCCGCUGAACUUAAGCAUAUCAAUAAGCGGAGGA